Brachypodium distachyon (stiff brome) is the source of this 95-nucleotide non-coding RNA. The record is from RefSeq and is marked provisional. Lineage: Eukaryota; Viridiplantae; Streptophyta; Magnoliopsida; Poales; Poaceae.
UGAUUUUCUUGCUCUGAUACCAAUUGUUGGUAUCAGUAACCUCUGAUACCUAGAUCGUCUGCACCAACAAUUCGUAUCAGAGCGAGAGAAUCAAU